This 58-nucleotide small RNA is filed under the name Salix viminalis (osier). The record is from RNAcentral. Lineage: Eukaryota; Viridiplantae; Streptophyta; Magnoliopsida; Malpighiales; Salicaceae.
CAGAGAACAAUUCCAUUGUAACGAGCUUAUAUAUCUAUAUAUAUAUAAGCUCGUUAUA